This 79-nucleotide microRNA precursor is filed under the name Spodoptera frugiperda (fall armyworm). Its description in RNAcentral is "microRNA sfr-mir-10506 precursor". The record is from miRBase by way of RNAcentral. Lineage: Eukaryota; Metazoa; Arthropoda; Insecta; Lepidoptera; Noctuidae.
GCGUCUUUUCCUGUUUCAGAUCUACAUCUGGCAAUGGAGAACCCAUUGGACGAUGUAGUUGUGAAACAGGAAAAAACGC